CUGGCGGCGUGCUUAACACAUGCAAGUCGAACGCGAAAGGGACUUCGGUCCUGAGUAAAGUGGCGCACGGGUGAGUAACGCGUAGAUAACCUGUCUUCAUGUCUGGAAUAAUACGCCGAAAGGGGUACUAAUACCGGAUAUUCUUGCUUUUCAUAAGUUAUGCAAGCAAAGGUGGCCUCUGCAUAUGCUACUGCAUGAAGAGGGGUCUGCGUACCAUUAGCUAGUAGGUGGGGUAAUGGCCUACCUAGGCGACGAUGGUUAGCGGGUCUGAGAGGAUGAUCCGCCACACUGGCACUGGAACACGGGCCAGACUCCUACGGGAGGCAGCAGUGAGGAAUAUUGCGCAAUGGGGGAAACCCUGACGCAGCGACGCCGCGUGAGUGAGGAAGGCCUUCGGGUCGUAAAGCUCUGUCAAGAGGAAAGAAGUGUACAAUGGCUAAUACCUGUUGUAUUUGACGGUACCUCUAAAGGAAGCACCGGCUAACUUCGUGCCAGCCGCCGC
This 502-nucleotide ribosomal RNA is filed under the name uncultured bacterium. RNAcentral's name for it is "bacterial SSU rRNA". It matches the Rfam family "Bacterial small subunit ribosomal RNA", at positions 36 to 518 of the family's 1533-position model. The record is from RNAcentral.